AUUGAACGCUGGCGGCAGGCCUAACACAUGCAAGUCGAACGGUAACAGGAAGCAGCUUGCUGCUUUGCUGACGAGUGGCGGACGGGUGAGUAAUGUCUGGGAAACUGCCCGAUGGAGGGGGAUAACUACUGGAAACGGUAGCUAAUACCGCAUAACGUCGCAAGACCAAAGAGGGGGACCUUAGGGCCUCUUGCCAUCGGAUGUGCCCAGAUGGGAUUAGCUAGUAGGUGGGGUAACGGCUCACCUAGGCGACGAUCCCUAGCUGGUCUGAGAGGAUGACCAGCCACGCUGGAACUGAGACACGGUCCAGACUCCUACGGGAGGCAGCAGUGGGGAAUAUUGCACAAUGGGCGCAAGCCUGAUGCAGCCAUGCCGCGUGUAUGAAGAAGGCCUUCGGGUUGUAAAGUACUUUCAGCGGGGAGGAAGGGAGUAAAGUUAAUACCUUUGCUCAUUGACGUUACCCGCAGAAGAAGCACCGGCUAACUCCGUG
Molecule: ribosomal RNA, 490 nt
Filed under: uncultured bacterium
Lineage: Bacteria
Description: partial 16S ribosomal RNA
Rfam family: Bacterial small subunit ribosomal RNA
Source: RNAcentral